Molecule: long non-coding RNA, 10571 nt
Filed under: Oryza sativa (Asian cultivated rice)
Lineage: Eukaryota; Viridiplantae; Streptophyta; Magnoliopsida; Poales; Poaceae
Description: long non-coding RNA (OSAT_LNC001652)
Source: RNAcentral
UUGAUUGCACGACAUUUAUUACAUAAAUAACCGUUGAUACUCGGUACGUGUCCGGUCGUCUACCAAUGUCGGCGGUGUAGCAGUAGACCUUUAUUGAAGGUUGGCGUGUGGCUCAUGAUGCGAUUACCUCCAUAGCAGCCACUUUGAAGGAUUCAUCCAUCAACUUAAACUUGUCAGCUGGGGCGGCAUCGAGGACAGCUUUAGCUGCUUUCUUGUAGGCAAGUGAAGUUGCAGCAACUUUCUUCUCAUCUCCUUGGGCCAUCCCGAGAGCAGCAAAGGCGAACAUUCUCCGCUUCCAGGUGGCAGCUUCAACUUCAUCCUUUUUUGCUGGUGGGGCAGCAGCCACAACGGAGUCGGCGGCCUCGUUGAUGGCCUGAGUUGCCUCAUCCAAGCGCUUAUCGACAGGGGCGAGGAGGGCCUUGUUGAAGCUCUUCUCGACGGGGGCGUCGCAUUCCACUUGCACUAACACGGCCGAUGCCGUGAUGGCUGCAAGGAGUAGGGCGACGGCUUUGGCCAUUGCUAAUUGUCACGCCCGGAAUUUCUAUCCAAAAUUCCAAACGCUUACAUGUGUGUGAACCCUCGUCCAGGAAUCAGCCGAGGCACACAAUAACAAAUUGAUAAUAGAGUACAAUUAUUACUCUAAUUAAUAAGCGAAUAAAAUGUCAUUACAGAGGUAGAUAGUUCCUCUCAAUCAAUAAAGAUCUAAGCAGCGGAAAAUAAAAUAAACGGCGCAGACGGCUCCACUCCACAGGCAGCUUGACCAAGGCUACACCUACUCCUCCACACCAUCAGCCUCAUUGAAGAACUCUUCCUCUGAUGAAUGAUUGCAAGGUGAGUAUAUGACAUACUCAGCAAGCCACGCAGCAAAUAUGCAAGUGCACAGGGUAACAAAGGAUGGCAUAAUAGGGCUCCAUUUGCAAAAAGCAGCAUUUAGCAAACAUUUGAGAAUUUAAAACAGUUAAGUAUUUAAACAAUAUUAAUCCAACACUAUACAACAUACCCUGUUGUAUAGGCCCAUCCAUUCUGAACAACCAUCCCGGCUGCACAGUUCUAUCUCCAAACCAGGAAUAUACCAUUCCAAACCAGGAGCUAAUCAAAUUAUUACCAGUUAUAGCAUCUUCUAUUAUGGUGAGAAGGGUGAGACUAAUCACGAAAGACAUUGUUCGACCCGCCCAUAACCGCGGGCACGGCUAUUCGAAUAGUUUUACUCUGAUCAGAGGUGUACCACUGUACCCACAAGACACAACCCCACAUCAUGUCACCAUGUGCCUCAAUACCACCACGGUACCUCGGAAAGGAGUUGUGACAAUACCCCUCGCAUAACACAAUCCAUUGCAGCGCACCUUCCUGGAUCAUAAUCACCCCCUUAUAAACAAGGCAUGGACUCCCCAGCGACCCCCGUGAGCUUAUCUCCGCCACUUCUCAGUCUGGUGCCCCGCAAUGAACCAUGCUAUACAAAAGAUAAAGCCGUUGCCCAUGCUGGCUUGUGGUUGGCACGAUAAAUGUUUCACAACCGAAACUCGUGAACCGGUCCUUAAUUGUCAUGAGCACGACCAGCAAAACCAUGUGCUCACAACCCACCAUUAUCAGGCUUUAGUUGGCACAUUAAUUAAUUAACUAACCACGAUUGACCAUCGUGAACUAUCAAUAAGCCAUCAUGAAAUAAUAGUGAAUCAUAAGUUAUCCCAAAAGUGAGCUAAUGUUUCUAAGCAGGGCUAAGCAAUUAUACCUAAUAUCUAGUUGAACCAAUAUAAAUAAAGUUCAACCAGUCAAAUUAUUAUAACCCAAGGUAUCAAGGAAUAAGGUAAACAAGAACAAAAGGGCUAUAACAAACAAUAGGUUAUUUCCACCCAAUGACAUUCGAAAAUAAAUGCAAUAGUUGAAAAGAAAUAAUAGCUUUAAAUAGGAUCAACAUGCUCAAAGGGUUGUUUGGGAUCUGUGUGACUUGCCUUGCUGGCCUUGGAACUCUUCAAACUCUUCUCCGGCGAAAACGGACUCUCCGGAAACGACGGAAUCUAAGCAGAAAAGAACAAAAUUACCAAAACAACACAUAAACAAGCAUGAACAGUACGUGUGGAUAUUUUUAAUGUGUAGAUCUCAAUUUUAGAAAAAUUUAGAGACUUGAACCAACUAAAUCGGAGCUAAGAUGAAUUAGUUAUGAAUUUUUAAAGAUUAAAUCGGAUUAAAAACACUUAUAUCGGUUUAAAUUGAAUUAUGACGCAAUAAUGAAUUAUUUUUGAAAAGGAAAAAGGGAUUUAUUGCGUCAGCGGGCUAGGGUUUCGGUGGACCGGGCGCACGGGCGGCGGUUCACGCGAACGGACGGCCGAGAUUCGAUCCAAUCCAAACGGACGGCCGAGAUCGAUCGGGUCCACGGCGGCUCACGGCGGACGACCCUGAUGACGUCAGCGGUGACGUCACCGACAGCGGCGGCGGCUCGGCGGAGCGGACGGCUUGGGCGGCGCACGCUCGCCGACGAACGGCGGCGCGAGGACGCUAACGAAGAGCACCAGCACGUAUAGGACGACGCGGCGAACACACCGGUGACCAAAACGGCGGCGGACGAACAACGGACGACAACAGCGACGAGAAGGAAGCGGCGGAAACCUUCGGGUUGUCGACGGCGACGCUGCUCCGGUGAUCUCCGGCGACGGCGAAGGGGCGAACGAGGACGGCGACGCGACGGCGACCACGAUGACGUCCUUCCCGAGCGACGGCGACGUCUGGAACGGCGGCGGCGCACGGCUGGAGCGGCGGCGACGACGGCAAAGCUAGGGCACACGGCGCUAGAGCUCUUCCGGCGACGAGAGGCAAAGGCGAAGGUGGCGACGGGUAGAGGAGACUCCGGGGGUCCUUUUAAAGGGGCUCGGAGGCGGCGACGAAGGCCCACGGCGACCGGCGACGGCGAAGGAAACCUCGGGCUUGGAGAGAAAGAAACCGAUCCGAAUCGAACUCGAUUCCACGAGCUUCCAAAACGUUUUAGCCGAUGAUUCCAAAGGAGAAAAGGUAGAGGAGAUCCCGGCGAUCAUUUCCCCCCUAUCAAUUCGGCCGGAGAAGGAAAGGAACGGCCGAAUUUGGAAAGGAACGGCGGCGGCGGCUCGGCGGCGGCGCGCUAGGGUUUCGGCCCGAGGAAGACGACGGGCCUGACAGGUGGGACCCACCUGUCAGCGACCGAACGCACGCGCGCGCGGGCGGCUCGGCUGCGGACUGGGCCGACUUGGGCCGGGGGAGAGAGAGAGAGAGUUUUGGGCCGACUUUCGGCCCAAAGCCAAAAGAGAACUUUUAAAACCUUUUUUUCAAUUUAAAUUAUUUCUUAAAUGCAAUUCCAUUUAUUAAAAAUACUUUCUUAGCUCAAAUAAAUCCCAGAAAAAUCUAGGAAUUAUAGAAUUAAGCAAAGUAUUUAAUGAAAUUUUAUCUGGCCCCAUUUUAUAUUGGAAUUUAUUAAUUAAACUUAGAUUUUCUUUUCAACACUUUUAAAAUAAAUUCUAGAAAUUCCAUUUAAACAACAAUUUAUAUAUUUUGAAUUUUCAGGGUGUGACACUAAUGAACUGGACAGGGAUCUUUCAAUGUUGGAAGAUGUUGCUACUGCGCGCGGAUUUGCUGUGUGAGUUUGUAGGGAUCAUCGGGGCUUUAAAUAGGGAAACACGUACCAUGAUAACCUAAGGCCAAGAGAGCUUCAUGGUCCAAAAUUGAUUGGUUGCAUGCAUGUGUGCCAAGUGUUCGGUCCGUAGUGCAUGCUAUCCUUUGUCUUGACUGAGCCUGCAAGAUCCAAAUCUGGACUUCCACAACCCCGAUAUGAAAUUUAUAUGUACGCAAGAUGUUAAGGGCAGAAAACCCAUUGUCCGGUUGGCAAUAGGUACGCGAAUGAGCAUGAACGACGUGUCGAGGGGUGUUGUCAAAGAAAAACAAAGGUAAGAACCACUUUGGCAACAAAUUCGACAAGGUCAUCAGCGAUUCUUAUACGAGUCUACGCAACGGUCACUAAAGUUCCAAUAGCAUGUGAAGCUAUAAACAUAUCAUUCAGGUUCCUAGGCAUCAAACUUCGCCAAUGUUACUUACGGUGUGUUUGUGAGGAGGGGAAAAGAGAAUAUACGCAAAAAAGGGUGAGUCAUCAGCGUAUGAUUAGUUGAGUGUUAAUUAUUUUAUACCUUAAAAAUUGAUUAGUAGGAUAUUUUAACCAACUUUUGUACCGAAUUGUCUUGCGAAAAACACACCGUUUAGCAGUUCGAGAAGCGUGCGCGCGGCGAACGAGGGAUUUUUUUUCUCCGGAUGCCAAAAACGCAGCCUUAGAGCGUAUAUAGCAAAGGAGAAGUAAAUGUCGAGGACAUCGAUGGUGAAUAUGCCACGUUACUCGCUAAGGGUUACGACGAAGCAGUCGUAUUUGAGAUAGGAAGUGCUUUGCACUUGGACGGCGCCGGGUAUGAUGCUCUUGUUCUAGUUUUAGCCGCUCAUAUGGUACUUAUGGCGGAAAAAAAGACAUGGCGGGUUGUCGUAAGUCCUAAAAAGAAUUCGGAUGAAAAAUUCAUGCCCGUUUUACUGAAGGGCACGCCGAAUAGGGAGCUACGUACAUAAAUAUUUCUUUGGCUAACUCUUUGAAUAGGUCCAGCGGCUGAAACAAGGAGGCUAGCACAGUUGUGCUUUUGAUUCAAGGCGGUUUGCAACCUAUCUAAAUGCAAGAUGCCUAGGAAGCGGGAUAUUUGACAUGGAGGUUUUGGGCAAACCGAAAGAUCUCGUCACAAGUCCUAUGGUUAUUUUACAUGGAAUCUCGGCAAAUAACAGCCGCCCAACAACAGUCUUAUAUGUGUGCAUAUAUCGAAGCGUUGAUGCACGCAAGCUGGUCCGGUUUAUGUUAUUUCUUACAUAAGAUAUUUUUACUCCAUACUUUUGUUUAAAGAAUCAUUCAAAGGAUUUCAUGGAAAAAAAAAAGUUCCGCCAAGUGCCAAGGAUCGACAUUUUGAACUAGAAAUGUUAGAUGGCACCGGAUUAUUUUUUUUCCACCUGGUGCUCUUACAAAUGGAGAGAAUGGAAUGAGUAGAAUUGAUUGCACGACAUUUAUUACAUAAAUAACCGUUGAUACUCGGUACAUGUCCGGUCGUCUACCAAUGUCGGCGGUGUAGCAGUAGACCUUUAUUGAAGGUUGGCGUGUGGCUCAUGAUGCGAUUACCUCCAUAGCAGCCACUUUGAAGGAUUCAUCCAUCAACUUAAACUUGUCAGCUGGGGCUGCAUCGAGGACAGCUUUAGCUGCUUUCUUGUAGGCAAGUGAAGUUGCAGCAACUUUCUUCUCAUCUCCUUGGGCCAUCCCGAGAGCAGCAAAGGCGAACAUUCUCCGCUUCCACGUGGCAGCUUCAACUUCAUCCUUUUUUGCUGGUGGGGCAGCAGCCACAACGGAGUCGGCGGCCUCGUUGAUGGCCUGAGUUGCCUCAUCCAAGCGCUUAUCGACAGGGGCGAGGAGGGCCUUGUUGAAGCUCUUCUCGACGGGGGCGUCGCAUUCCACUUGCACUAACACGGCCGAUGCCGCGAUGGCUGCAAGGAGUAGGGCGACGGCUUUGGCCAUUGCUAAUGAACUGGACAGGGAUCUUUCAAUGUUGGAAGAUGUUGCUACUGCGCGCGGAUUUGCUGUGUGAGUUUGUAGGGAUCAUCGGGGCUUUAAAUAGGGAAACACGUACCAUGAUAACCUAAGGCCAAGAGAGCUUCAUGGUCCAAAAUUGAUUGGUUGCAUGCAUGUGUGCCAAGUGUUCGGUCCGUAGUGCAUGCUAUCCUUUGUCUUGACUGAGCCUGCAAGAUCCAAAUCUGGACUUCCACAACCCCGAUAUGAAAUUUAUAUGUACGCAAGAUGUUAAGGGCAGAAAACCCAUUGUCCGGUUGGCAAUAGGUACGCGAAUGAGCAUGAACGACGUGUCGAGGGGUGUUGUCAAAGAAAAACAAAGGUAAGAACCACUUUGGCAACAAAUUCGACAAGGUCAUCAGCGAUUCUUAUACGAGUCUACGCAACGGUCACUAAAGUUCCAAUAGCAUGUGAAGCUAUAAACAUAUCAUUCAGGUUCCUAGGCAUCAAACUUCGCCAAUGUUACUUACGGUGUGUUUGUGAGGAGGGGAAAAGAGAAUAUACGCAAAAAAGGGUGAGUCAUCAGCGUAUGAUUAGUUGAGUGUUAAUUAUUUUAUACCUUAAAAAUGGAUUAGUAGGAUUUUUUAACCAACUUUUGUAUCGAAUUGUCUUGCGAAAAACACACCGUUUAGCAGUUCGAGAAGCGUGCGCGCGGCGAACGAGGGAUUUUUUUCUCCGGAUGCCAAAAAGGCAGCCUUAGAGCGUAUAGAGUGUCACACCCUGAUUUUCGUCUUAGGAUUUAUAAAUUAUUUAAUAAAUUAUUAAUAGAAUUUAUAUGAAAUGUUCAAUAAUUUGCAAGUGAAGUUAAUUGUGGGAAAUAAAAUUUCCUAAAUUUAAAGCAUGGAUGGAUUUAAUUUUUAUUAAAUUCUCCAUGAUUAAUUAUACUCUCUGGAAUUUUCUCGGAUUUUUCGGAGCUCAAUUCCUAAAUGAUACAAAGAACAUUUCAGUAAUUAUUUGAUCAAUAAUGAUCUAAUUAUAAUUGUUAAGAGUUUUUCUUGUUUAAAAUCCUUAAAUUAUAAAUUGUUGUUUAAAAGGAAUUAUUAGAAAUAAUUUUAAAAGCUUAAAAGAGAAGAUCUAAUUUUAAUUUGCUAAAUCUCAAUAUAAAAUUGAGCUAGAUAAAAUUUUAUUAAAUACUUUGCUUGUUCCUCUAUUUUCUAGAAUUUUCUGGGAAUUAUUUGAGCAAGGGAAGUAUUUUUAAUAAAUGAAACAACAUUUCACAAAUUAUUUUAAUUGAAGAAAGUUCAAAAAACCCCUUCCUAAGCCGUUGGGCCGAAUUCGGCCCAACUCUCUCUCUCUCCCGCGCGGCCCAAGCCGGCCCAGCCGAGCCGCCCGCCCUCUCCUCCUCCAGCCGCCGACAUGUGGGGCCCACAUGUCGGACCUCUCUUCAACCUCCGGCCGGCUGCCAUGCCGAGCCCGACCGAGCCGCCUUCCGCCUCCAAAUCCACCCCAAUCCGGUCUCCUCGUGUCCGAUUGAUUGAGGGGUUUUGAUCCUCUCGUUCUCCUCUAUCUUUCCCCUCAAGAAACGGAGCAAUCCGUUGAGUAUCCUAUCCGAAUCAAACUCGUUUUCGAGUUUAUCUCCAAAACCGAGUUUUGAUUUUCUUGGAUCGAUUUCUCUCGUUUGGAGUCCGAUCUCUUCAAUCCAAUGCUAUAUAUAGGACCACCUCGUCGCCCUCUUUCGUUUGCCCCCUCUCCCGUGGUCUCCCGUGCCUCCUAGCCGCCGCGCCGCCGCCUUUUAGCCCGCCGCCGCCGCCGGCCGUCUUCAGCCGCGUCGCGCCGCCGUUUGCGCCGUCGCCGCCGCUUGCCGCCGCCGCCGUUAGGUGCACCGUGGUGAGGAGAACCUCGGCCGCCUGUCCCUCUUCGCCGCCGACCACCGGAGCUCCGCCGUCGCCGUCAACCCGAACCGCCGCCACCGUCCUCUUCGUCGCCGGCCGUCGUCGGUCAUCGGUAGACGUUGUGGUGAGUACCGUUGGGUUCGCCUCGUCGUCCUCUACGCGUAGGUGUCCUCCAAUCACCCGGCCAAGGUCCCUAGCUCCGGCGAGGUCGCCGUCCGAGUCGGCCGACCUGUGGCUGCCUUGGGUGACGUCAUGCUGACGUCAUCAUCCUUUCUUUUUUUUUUUCCUAAUAGAUUAAAUCUUCUGAAAAUCAUAACUAAAUCAUCGUAACUCAGUUUAAUGUGGUUCAAGUUGCAAAAGUUGUAUAAAAUAAAGAUAUACAUAUUAAAAUUGUCCAUAAAUUGAAUUAAAUUUAUUUAAUUCUUUUUAAAUGGGCUUUAAUUAGAUUUAAUCUUGUAAAACUCAUAAUAAAUUCAUUUGAAGUCAGAAUGAGGCUGUUCAAGUCUCAUAAUUCAUCUAAAAUUAUGAUCUACGUGUUUGUUUACUUUAUAUGUAUUGUUUAUUUGGUUUUUAUUAGUCUUUUACUUCGUUUUGCGUGUUAGCUUGUUGUUUCCGUCGUUGCGAAGGUUCGCGAGUGCGUCGGAAGUGAUCAAGAAGAUUAAUUGAAGACCGAUUAUUGCAAGGCAAGUCACACAGAUCCUAAACACAAUCCUUUGAGCAUGUUGAUCCUAUAUUUAAAUUCUCUAUUUAUUUCAACUGUGCAUUUAUUUUCGAAUGUCACCGGGUGGUGUGAACCUAUUCCUUUGUUAAGGCCAAUUUGCAUUGAAUGCCCUAUUCCUUGAUACCUUGGGUAAUAAAUUGAUUAGCUUGAACCUUAUGUAUUGGUUUGGUUCAGCUAAAUGUUAUAUAUAUAAUUGCUUAGCAAUGCUUAGAAACAUUAGCUCACUAAUGGGAUGAAUCAUAUAUACUACAUUAUUAUUCAUGGUUAUAUUUAAUGGUAGCUCACGAUGGUUAAUCGUGUUAUGAUAAUUAAUUGGUAAUUAAAAUAUGAUUAAUGGUGGGUUGUGAGCAUAUGGUUUUGAAGGUCGUGCUCAUGGCAAUUAAGGACCGGUUCGCGAGCUACUGUUGUGAAACAUUUACCGUGCCAACCACAAGCCAGCAUGGGCAACGGCUUUAUCUUUUGUAUAGCGUGAUUCAUUAUAGUGCGCCAGACUGAGAACUGGCGAGAAGUCCACGGGGGUCGCUGGGGAGUCCAUGCCUUGUUUUAUAAGGGAGUGAUUAUGAUCCAGGAAAGGUGCGCUGUAAUGGGUUAUGUUGUGCAAGGGGUAUUGUCACAACUCCUUUCCGAGGUACCGUGGUGGUACUGAGGCACAUGGUGACAUGAUGUGGGGUUGUGUCUUGUGGGUACAGUGGUACACCUCUGGCCAGAGUUUAAUCUAUUCGAAUAGCCGUGCCCGCGGUUAUGGGCGAGUUGAGCAAUGUUUUUCAUGAUUAGUCUCACACCUCUCACAAUAAUUAUUGAUGGUUAUAACUGGUAAUGAUUUGCUUAGCUCCUGGUUUGGAGUUAGAUCUGUACAGCCGGGAAUGGUUGUUCAGGAUGGUUGGGCCUGAGCAGCAUGGGUGUGCUGUUCAGUGUUGAUUAAGAUUGAUGAUUAAUUACUCUACUGUUUUACUUAUCUUAAAUCUUUGCUAAAUGCUGCUUUUGCAAAUGAGCCUAUAUUAUGCCAUCCUUUGGAAUCCUUGUGCACUUGCAUAUUUGCUGUGUGGCUUGUUGAGUAUGUCAUAUGCUCAUUCUUGCAAUAAUCAAUCAACCUCAGUUGAAGAAAAAGGAUCCAGAAGGAGAAGACGUUUGGCUUAUACCCCAGUUGAGCUGCCUGUGGGAGUGGAGCCGGAGCUUCGCUAGAUUUUAUUUUCCGCUGCAGUUUUCUUCAUGGUGAGGACUAAGUGCCUCUUAAGUAAGUAUAUAUCGGUUUAGUUAUUAUGAUGGAUUUGUAUAUUAAAUUGUCAGUUUGUGUACCUCGGCUGAUUCCUGGACGAGGAUUUUAUGCACAAAUAAGUUCGGAAAUUACUAGUGAAUUUCCGGGCGUGACAUAGAGCAAAGGAGAAGUAAAUGUCGAGGACAUCUAUGGUGAAUAUGCCACGUUACUCGCUAAGGGUUACGACGAAGCAGUCGUAUUUGAGAUAGGAAGUGCUUUGCACUUGGACAGCGCCGGGUAUGAUGCUCUUGUUCUAGUUUUAGCCGCUCAUAUGGUACUUAUGGCGGAAAAAAAGACAUGGCGGGUUGUCGUAAGUCCUAAAAAGAAUUCGGAUGAAAAAAUCAUGCCCGUUUUACUGAAGGGCACGCCGAAUAGGGAGCUACGUACAUAAAUAUUUCUUUGGCUAACUCUUUGAAUAGGUCCAGCGGCUGAAACAAGGAGGCUAGCGCAGUUGUGCUAUUGAUUCAAGGCGGUUUGCAACCUAUCUAAAUGCAAGAUGCCUAGGAAGCGGGAUAUUUAACAUGGAGGUUUUGGGCAAACCGAAAGGUCUCGUCACAAGUCCUAUGGUUAUUUUACAUGGAAUCUCGGCAAAUAACAGUCGCCCAACAACAGUCUUAUAUGUGUGCAUAUAUCGAAGCGUUGAUGCACGCAAGCUGGUCCGGUUUAUGUUAUUUCUUACAUAAGAUAUUUUUACUCCAUACUUUUGUUUAAAGAAUCAUUCAAAGGAUUUCAUGGAAAAAAAAAAGUUCCGCCAAGUGCCAAGGAUCGACAUUUUGAACUAGAAAUGUUAGAUGGCACCGGAUUAUUUUUUUCCCCCUGGUGCUCUUACAAAUGGAGAGAAUGGAAUGAGUAGAAUUGAUUGCACGACAUUUAUUACAUAAAUAACCGUUGAUACUCGGUACGUGUCCGGUCGUCUACCAAUGUCGGCGAUGUAGUAGUAGACCUUUAUUGAUGGUUGGCGUGUGGCUCAUGAUGCGAUUACCUGCAUAACAGCCACUUUGAAGGAUUCAUCCAUCAACUUAAACUUGUCAGCUGGGGCGGCAUCGAGGACAGCUUUAGCUGCUUUCUUGUAGGCAAGUGAAGUUGCAGCAACUUUCUUCUCAUCUCCUUGGGCCAUCCCGAGAGCAGUUAUGGCGAAGAUUCUCCGCUUCCACGUGGCAG